This 232-nucleotide ribosomal RNA is filed under the name uncultured bacterium. RNAcentral describes it as "partial 16S ribosomal RNA". It matches the Rfam family "Bacterial small subunit ribosomal RNA", at positions 118 to 347 of the family's 1533-position model. The record is from RNAcentral.
UGAGGAACAUGACCUUCGGCGGGGGAUAGCCGGCCCAACGGCCGGGUAAUACCGCGUACGACCACAUGGGGACAUCCCUGAGUGGUGAAAGCAGCAAUGCGCCGAUGGAGUGCCUCGCGGCCUAUCAGCUAGUUGGUGAGGUAACGGCUCACCAAGGCGACGACGGGUAGCUGGUCUGAGAGGAUGGCCAGCCACAUUGGGACUGAGACACGGCCCAGACCUGUACGGGAGG